GUUCCUGUAGUUAAGAUUUAUUAACGGUGGCUUUUCAGGCCACAGACCUUGGAAAAAAGCCAAGUAGGAACU
RNAcentral lists this transfer RNA (72 nucleotides) under Chloroceryle aenea (American pygmy kingfisher). RNAcentral describes it as "tRNA-Glu". The record is from RNAcentral. Lineage: Eukaryota; Metazoa; Chordata; Aves; Coraciiformes; Cerylidae.